GCAACUGAAAGGCUCACUCUGAUACCCCGGAACCGUGAACUUACUUUAUCCCCAUGGCAAAUCAACUCCACGAGAAUUCUCAGCCUUGUGUGUUCUGCUGGAUCCCAUGGGAAUGGGAAGUGACACUCGGAGCUCCGAAACAGAAAGCAGGAAGUCGACAGAACAGACUUCUCUAGCUUCCAAAAUGCCGAUCCUCACCACACUCUGUCGUGGAUGAGAAAUACGACACAUUCGCUGUAAAGGACAGAGUAAGCCAUCCUCCAAAAAUCAAGAGGGUGAAAAAAGAGAAUAGAAGAGGAAAUUGUCGUGUGGUCUCAAUGAGAGAAGAACAGGAAAAGAAUAGGACAUCAUCCUCAUCAUGCUUCUUCUUGGCCCGGAGAGAAAAGAAGAAACCAGAUGCACAACAGUGCCUUGAUCAGAAGAAUGCGUACCUGCUGGCCAUUUGUGUCUUCCACAUCUCAGAGAAAUUUACACUAAAAAAAAAAAAUCCCCUAUCCUGGAAGAUACCUUCAACAUCACUCAAUAAAUGAAGCUAAUUACUCUUGA
Molecule: long non-coding RNA, 546 nt
Organism: Peromyscus californicus insignis
Lineage: Eukaryota; Metazoa; Chordata; Mammalia; Rodentia; Cricetidae
Exons: 2
Source: RefSeq, a predicted model, not a curated record